Molecule: ribosomal RNA, 253 nt
Filed under: uncultured bacterium
Lineage: Bacteria
Description: partial 16S ribosomal RNA
Rfam family: Bacterial small subunit ribosomal RNA
Source: RNAcentral
UACGUAGGGUGCGAGCGUUAAUCGGAAUUACUGGGCGUAAAGCGUGCGCAGGCGGUUUUUUAAGUCAGAUGUGAAAGCCCCGGGCUCAACCUGGGAAUUGCAUUUGAAACUGGGGAACUAGAGUGUGUGAGAGGGGGGUAGAAUUCCAAGUGUAGCGGUGAAAUGCGUAGAGAUUUGGAGGAAUACCAGUGGCGAAGGCGGCCCCCUGGCACAAUACUGACGCUGAGGUGCGAAAGCGUGGGGAGCAAACAGG